GGGGAAUAUUGCACAAUGGGGGAAACCCUGAUGCAGCAACGCCGCGUGAAGGAAGACGGUCUUCGGAUUGUAAACUUUUGUUCUUGGUGAAGAAAAAUGACGGUAGCCAAGGAGGAAGCCACGGCUAACUAUGUGCCAGCAGCCGCGGUAAUACGUAGGUGGCAAGCGUUGUCCGGAAUUACUGGGUGUAAAGGGAGCGCAGGCGGGAAAUCAAGUUGGAUGUGAAAUGUCGGGGCUUAACCCCGGAACUGCAUCCAAAACUGAUAUUCUUGAGUGAAGUAGAGGUAGGCGGAAUUCCGAGUGUAGCGGUGAAAUGCGUAGAUAUUCGGAGGAACACCAGUGGCGAAGGCGGCCUACUGGGCUUUAACUGACGCUGAGGCUCGAAAGUGUGGGGAGCAAACAGGAUUAGAUACCCUGGUAGUCCACACUGUAAACGAUGAUUGCUAGGUGUGGGGGGUCUGACCCCCUCCGUGCCGGAGUUAACGCAAUAAGCAAUCCACCUGGGGAGUACGGCCGCAAGGUUGAAACUCAAAGGAAUUGACGGGGGCCCGCACAAGCAGUGGAGUAUGUGGUUUAAUUCGAAGCAACGCGAAGAACCUUACCAGGUCUUGACAUCCUGAGAAUCCUUAAGAGAUUAGGGAGUGCCUUCGGGAACUCAGAGACAGGUGGUGCAUGGUUGUCGUCAGCUCGUGUCGUGAGAUGUUGGGUUAAGUCCCGCAACGAGCGCAACCCUUGCUAUUAGUUGCUACGCAAGAGCACUCUAAUAGGACUGCCGUUGACAAAACGGAGGAAGGUGGGGACGACGUCAAAUCAUCAUGCCCCUUAUGACCUGGGCUACACACGUACUACAAUGGCCAUUAACAGAGGGAAGCAAAACCGCGAGGCAGAGCAAACCCCUAAAAAUGGUCCCAGUUCGGAUUGUAGGCUGCAACCCGCCUACAUGAAGUUGGAAUUGCUAGUAAUCGCGGAUCAGCAUGCCGCGGUGAAUACGUUCCCG
Molecule: ribosomal RNA, 997 nt
Filed under: uncultured bacterium
Lineage: Bacteria
Description: bacterial SSU rRNA
Rfam family: Bacterial small subunit ribosomal RNA
Source: RNAcentral